GGGCGGGGCCUAAUCCACCACCAGCCAUCAGGAUCUUGUCGGCUAGGCCAAGACCUGCCCCUUUUUUUCCCCGCUCCGGCCGAUCCGAUUUGUUAUAGGCUGUCAAGCGGCGCAACCUGCAAGGUGCAAGCUCUUGAUUGGGACGCCCAUAUAACGUAGUAACAAAAAGCUUAUGGGUCGACGGAUUCCAAGCUUUUCUAGAGCAUCUCCAACAGGCGUCUAAAAACUGGACCGCGCGCUAAAAUUAGGUUUCUUGUGCGCCAGACAGCUCCAGCAGAAGCUGUAAAACAAUGCACGCGUAAAAAGGGUUGGGCGUGUGUUGAAAAAUGCUACCGCAUGUUGCAAAUUUGAGACACCGAAUUACACGCGCUUCACAAUUUACACUGCUUGUUUUUUUGGGCGCGCGUUUUUUGGCAUCUACUAAAGCAAUGUUGGGUCCGACGUACUAAAAGUGCUACAGUGACGCGCUAAAACUAUUUUAGGGCGUGAAAUUUUUAUGCACCUGUUGGAGAUGCUCUUACGUUGAUGCAAAGUCGUUCAUGCAUGCAUGCCAUUGCAUCCUUAUCUGCCACAUGGUGGAGGCCCCAUCUUGAUUUCAUGUGAUCUAUUACGGACAUGUCGUCUGCACCGUUGCUUUCUGCCGAGAUCUGACGGACGAUCCGGCAACUUUAUGUAGCCCCUCUCGAUUCAUAAGUUUGGGAACAGAUUGAUGCCAUUAGGGGCAAGAAAUUUGGACAGGCAAGUAGGCAGGACCGAAGGCACUGGAUUGUGAGAUAUUGCUCCCAACAGAUUGCCUGCUUGCAUAUUGCACUUGCACUCCUGAGUAAGGAAAUAACAGUAAAAGAGCUCGCCAAUGGGGUGGGUUUAUUGGGUCAUAUACAAAGCUUAAUACGUGAAGCACUUGCAAGUUGGCAGAGCAGAUCUGGAAGCAUGUGGUGUGGCCGGCCAAAUUGGUCAACAGACGUACAAGCAGUGAAACUUCUCUCCUUGCGUGGCCUGAGUUUCUACAACAUAUCUUACUCCAUAGCAUACAUUCGGUUGGAUGCUGUAUAGACCGACUAAUUUGUGUAGUACCAUGAUACGCGGUUCUUUCACCUCCGACACUAAUAAUCUAACACUAACACUGUGAGCUACUCGUUGUUGGAGUACUAUAGAACACAUGUUUGUAUUAGUCGCCGGACGUCGGUGUCGUCCAUAUCUGUUAAACGAAAACUCGCGCACAUUCCCCGGGUUUCCUCGUUUCCCCGCCUUUUCCUUCACUAGUCGUCCUGCACCUUUUCGUUUCACGCAAGUAAAGCAAGCAUACUUUAAUUUUUGGUCAAUGCAAUGCAAGGCCAAUUCAAGUUUAUCCAUUUUGAUUAAUCGUCCUUUUUUUAAAACCAGAGACACAACAACCAGGAAUUCGGGUCGAUCUCUAUCCCCGCCCCCACGCAACAUCCAAUGGUUUUGAAGGAAAAUCAAACGUAAUGGAGCAUAAACAAUGGAGAUUACACGAUCAUCGCUGAUGACAGGGAAGCCUUAACGCCCUCCCACAUGCCAAUAUUCAAUAUGCACAUGCAUAUCUGUGAGCUGCUUUCUUUGCCUUUGAGGGUCACCGUCUCACGAUAGGAAAUGACAGCUGGGUCGCAUGGGUAGAGCCAUCUGGCUGGGCUGGCUCGCCACCAAACCCACGCGGCCCGCCACGACCGGCCUGCGCCGAGAUGGUUCGCUGACGAGGCGCGUCGUCGGACGAAACGCUGACUCAGACCACCGUGGGCGCCAUGGAAGAAAGGCAGCUCAGAGGAGAAACUAAAGAAAGCUACUCCAAUGGCAGCGCAUGCAUGCACGGAGAGGAGACUGAGACUGGCCGAACGUGUAGUGACGGUGCCUUCCAUUCCAUGCACGCGCGAACCUUCUUAACUUCUUCUCUUCCUGGGGGCAGACCCCGCCGCCGAUAUUUUAUCCACUCCUGCUGCCACGGCGUCACCGUCGCCGAGUCAUCUCGCAAGAAGGUGCGGUAACGUGCGGUGUACAUACUCGUGGCAGCAUGGCAUUGAAUGCGCUCCAAGCUUUCUCGACUUUGAAGUUUGAACACACUGACUACGAACUUAAAACUAAUCUGAAGAAAAAAAAGAUGGAAAUUCGGUUGCGUUGCAUACUUUGCACAAACAGGGAUCGAUCAACGACUCACCGGCCGGGCGGCCGGCGACAAAGUUAGGGCAACUCCAACGCGGAUCAUUAAAAUGUAUCUCACCAAAUAUUCACACACACUUCCAAACGUAUCCGUGGACAGGGAUAGGGGUGGAUGUCAUCCGAUCACAGGCACCAAAUGCCCAUCUCUGAUCCGGCCUCUUCCAUUUGACAUGCAUAUCUUGCACAAUAACAAUUUAAGCACACUUUUAAUAGUUGCAAACAUAUGCAAUUGAUCCCAAAAGUUGUCGGUCCAGUUGUCUGUGCCAAAGGCCUCCUUGAACUCCAAGUUCGGUUGUCUGUGACAAAGACCUCACUAUUUAACUGGCCCGGUCUUCUUCGUUCAUGCGAAAUGCUUAAAUAUGCUUGUACGGUAGGCUUGGAUAAUAUUCACCGCAUCGGGAUCCAAGUCUGACGUCUUCAUGAAUAACGCUUUGGAGUCCUCCGAAGCGGCAUUGAUCUCAAGCUUCUUUUCUUGGAGCUUGAGCUUCGUAUCUUGCAUCUCUAUGAAGAUGUCGAACCCCUCCGCUCAACAUGGCACCCGCAUGGUUUGGGUAUGGGUAUUACGUGCCCAUACACACACCCGUCUCAAAAAUCUCCGCCCAUACCCAUACCCAUACCCGCACCCCAGGUUUCAAACCGUUCCCAUACCCAUACCCCGCGGGUAAAAAUACCCAACUAGGCGUGUAUACUUGAGCAUUUACAUUUCAACAUUUUGACACAUAUUGACAACAUUUCAACACAUGUAUACAACAUAUCAGCACGUGUAUACAAUAUUUCAGCACAUUUAUAACAUUUCGGCACACUUAUACAACAUUUCAACACAUUUAUUGUUGGAAAUAUGCUCUAGAGGCAAUAAUAAAAUGGUUAUUAUUAUAUUUCGUUGUUCAUGAUAAUUGUCUAUUGUUCAUGCUAUAAUUGUGUUAUCCGGAAAUCGUAAUACAUGUGUGAAUAUAUAGACCACAACACGUCCCUAGUAAGCCUCUAGUUGACUAGCUCGUUGAUCAACAGAUAGUCAUGGUUUCCUGACUAUGGACAUUGGAUGUCAUUGAUAACGGGAUCACAUCAUUAGGAGAAUGAUGUGAUGGACAAGACCCAAUCGUAAGCGUAGCACAAAGAUCGUGUAGUUCGUUUUGCUAGAGCUUUUCCAAAUGUCAAGUAUCAUUUCCUUAGACCAUAAGAUUGUGCAACUCCCGGAUACCGUAGGAGUGCUUUGGGUGUGCCAAACGUCACAACGUAACUGGGUGACUAUAAAGGUGCACUACGGGUAUCUCCGAAAGUGUCUGUUGGGUUGGCACGAAUCGAGACUGGGAUUUGUCACUCCGUAUGACGGAGAGGUAUCUCUGGGCCCACUCGGUAAUGCAUCAUCAUAAUGAGCUCAAUGUGACCAAGUGUCUGGUCACGGGAUCAUGCAUUACGGUACGAGUAAAGUGACUUGCCGGUAACGAGAUUAAACGAGGUAUUGGGAUACCGACGAUAGAAUCUCGGGCAAGUAACGUACCAAUUGACAAAGGGAAUUGUAUACGGGAUUGAUUGAAUCCUCAACAUCGUGGUUCAUCCGAUGAGAUCAUCGAGGAGCAUGUGGGACCCAACAUGGGUAUCCAGAUCCCGCUGUUGGUUAUUGACCGGAGAGGCGUCUCGGUCAUGUCUGCAUGUCUCCCGAACCCGUAGGGUCUACACACUUAACGUUCGGUGACGCUAGGGUUGUUGAGAUAUUAGUAUGCAGUAACCCGAAAGUUGUUCGGAGUCCCGGAUGAGAUCCCGGACGUCACGAGGAGUUCUGGAAUGGUCCGAAGGUGAAGAUUUAUAUACAGGAAGUUCAGUUUCGGCCAUCGGGAAAGUUUCGUGGGGUCACCGGUAUUGUACCGGGACCACCGGAAGGGUCCCGGGGGUCCACCAGGUGGGGCCACCUAUCCCGGAGGGCCCCAUGGGCUGAAGUGGGAGGGGAACCAGNNNNNNNNNNNNNNNNNNNNNNNNNNNNNNNNNNNNNNNNNNNNNNNNNNNNNNNNNNNNNNNNNNNNNNNNNNNNNNNNNNNNNNNNNNNNNNNNNNNNNNNNNNNNNNNNNNNNNNNNNNNNNNNNNNNNNNNNNNNNNNNNNNNNNNNNNNNNNNNNNNNNNNNNNNNNNNNNNNNNNNNNNNNNNNNNNNNNNNNNNNNNNNNNNNNNNNNNNNNNNNNNNNNNNNNNNNNNNNNNNNNNNNNNNNNNNNNNNNNNNNNNNNNNNNNNNNNNNNNNNNNNNNNNNNNNNNNNNNNNNNNNNAAGCCGCCCCCUUGCCCCCCCCUUGGAGAUUGGAUCUCCUAGGGACGGCGCCCCCUAGGGGCCCUAUAUAAAGAGGGGGGAGGGAGGGCAGCCGCACCCAAGUCCCUGGCGCCUCCCUCUCCCCACGCACCACCUCUUCCUCUCGCUGAAGCUUGGCGAAGCCCUACCGAGAUCACUGUUGCAUCCACCACCACGCCGUCGUGCUGCUGGAUCUCCAUCAACCUCUCCUUUCCCCUUGCUGGAUCAAGAAGGAGGAGACGUCUUCCCGACCGUACGUGUGUUGAACGCGGAGGUGUCGUCCGUUCGGCGCUAGGAUCUCCGGUGAUUUGGAUCACGACGAGUACGACUCCAUCAACCCCGUUCUCUUGAACGCUUCCGCUCGCGAUCUACAAGGGUAUGUAGAUGCUAUCCUCUCUCUCGUUGCUAGAUGACUCCAUAGAUUGAUCUUGGUGAAGCGUAGAAAUUUUUUAUUUUCUACAACGUUCCCCAACAGUGGCAUCAUGAGCUAGGUCUAUGCGUAGUUUCUAUGCACGAGUAGAACACAAAUUUGUUGUGGGUGUAGAUGUUGUCAAUUUUCUUGCCACUACUCGUCUUAUCUUGCUUUGGCGGUAUCGUGGGAUGAAGCAGCCCGGACCGACCUUACACGUACGCUUACGUGAGACAGGUUCCACCGACUGGCAUGCACUAGUUGCAUAAGGUGGCUAGCGGGUGUCUGUCUCUCCCACUUUAGUUGGAGCAGAUUCGAUGAAAAGGGUCCUUAUGAAAGGUAAAUAGAAAUUGGCAUGUCACGUUGUGGCUUUUACGUAGGUAAGAAACGUUCUUGCUAGAAUCCUAUUACAACCACGUAAAAACAUGCAACAACAAUUAGAGGACGUCUAACUUGUUUUUGCAUCAUGUGCUUUGUGAUGUGAUAUAGCCAAAAGUUGUGAUGAAUGAUAUAUAUGUGAUGUAUGAGAUCAUGUUCUUGUAAUAGGAAUCAUGACUUGCAUGUCGAUGAGUAUGACAACUGGCAGGAGCCAUAGGAGUUGUCUUUUUUUUAUGACCUGCGUGUCAUUGAAUAACGCCAUGUGAAUUACUUUACUUUAUUGCUAAACACGUUAGACAUAGAAGUAGAAGUAAUCGUUGCCGUGACAACUUCAUGAAGACACGAUGAUGGAGAUCAUUAUGAUGGAGAUCAUGGUGUCAUGCCGGUGACGAAGAUGAUCAUGGCUCCCCGAAGGUGGAGAUCAAAGGAGCAAUAUGAUAAUGGCCAUAUCAUGUCACUAUUUGAUUGCAUGUGAUGUUUAUCAUGUUUUACAUCUUAUUUGCUUAGAACGACGGUAGCUUAAAUAAGAUGAUCCCUCGCAAUAAUUUCAAGAAAGUGUUCCCCCUAACUGUGCACCGUUGUGAAGGUUCGUUGUUUCGAAGCACCACGUGAUGAUCGGGUGUGAUAGAUCCUAACGUUCAAAUACAACGGGUGUAAGCCAGAUUUACACACGCAAUACACUUAGGUUGACUUGACGAGCCUAGCAUGUACAGACAUGGCCUCAGAACACAGAAGACCGAAAGGUCGAGCAUGAGUCGUAUAGAAGAUACGAUCAACAUGAAGAUGUUCAUCAAUGUCGACUAGUCCGUCUCACGUGAUGAUCGGACACGGCCUAGUUGAUUCGAAUCAUGUUUCACUUAGAUGACUAGAGGGAUGUCUGUCUGAGUGGGAGUUCAUUGAAUAAUUUGAUUAGAUGAACUUAAUUAUCAUGAACUUAGUCUAAAAUCUUUACAAUAUGUCUUGUAGAUCAAAUGGCCCACGUUGCCCUCAACUUCAACGCAUUCCUAGAGAAAACCAAGCUAAAAGAUGAUGGCAGCAACUAUACGGACUGGGUCCGGAACCUGAGGAUCAUCCUCAUAGCUGCCAAGAAAGAUUAUGUCCUAGAAGCACCGCUAGGUGAAUCACCCAUCCCAGAGAACCAAGACAUUAUGAACACUUGGCACUCUCGUGCUGAUGAUUACUCCCUCGUUCAGUGUAGCAUGCUUUACAGCUUAGAACCGGGGCUCCAAAAGCAUUUUGAGCAACACGGAGCAUAUGAGAUGUUCGAAGAGCUGAAAAUGGUUUUCCAAGCUCAUGCCCAGGUCGAGAGAUAUGAAGUCUCCGACAAGUUCUUCAGUUUUAAGAUGGAGGAAAAUAGUUCUCUCAGUGAGCACAUACUCAAAAUGUCUAGGUUGCACAACCGCUUGACUCAGCUGGGAGUUAAUCUCCCGGAUGACGCGGUGAUUGACAGAAUCCUUCAGUCGCUUCCACCGAGCUACAAGAGCUUUGUGAUGAACUUCAAUAUGCAGGGGAUGGAAAAGACCAUUCCUGAGGUAUAUUCAAUGCUGAAAUCAACGGAGGUAGAGAUCAAAAAGGAACAUCAAGUGUUGAUGGUGAAUAAAACCACUAAGUUCAAAAAGGCAAGGGUAAGAAGAACUUCAAGAAGGACGGCAAGGGAUUUGUCGCGCCCGGUAAGCCAGUUGCCGGGAAGAAGCCAAAGAAUGGACCCAAGCCUAAGACUGAGUGCUUUUAUUGCAAGGAAAGUGGUCACUGGAAGCGGAACUGCCCCAAGUACUUAGCGUACAAGAAGGCCGGCAACACUAAAGGUAUAUGUGAUAUACAUGUAAUUGAUGUGUACCUUACCAGUACUCGUAGUAGCUCCUAGGUAUUUGAUACCGGUGCGGUUGCUCACAUUUGUAACUCAAAGCAGGAGCUGCGGAAUAAGCGGAGACUGGCGAAGGACGAGGUGACGAUGCGCGUCGGGAAUGGUUCCAAGGUCGAUGUGAUCGCCGUUGGCACGCUACCUCUACAUUUACCUACGGGAUUAGUUUUAAACCUCAAUAAUUGUUAUUUAGUGCCAGCUUUGAGCAUGAACAUUGUAUCUGGAUCUCGUUUAAUACGAGAUGGCUACUCAUUUAAAUCCGACAAUAAUGGUUGUUCUAUCUAUAUGAGAGAUAUGUUUUAUGGUCAUGCCCCGAUGGUCAAUGGUUUAUUCUUAAUGAAUCUUGAACGUGAUGUUACACAUAUUCAUAGUGUGAAUACCAAAAGAUGUAAAGUUGAUAACGAUAGUCCCACAUACUUGUGGCACUGCCGCCUUGGUCAUAUUGGUGUCAAGCGCAUGAAGAAGCUCCAUGCUGAUGGUCUUUUAGAGUCUCUGGAUUAUGAAUCAUUUGACACAUGCGAACCAUGCCUCCUGGGCAAAAUGACCAAGACUCCAUUCUUCGGAACAAUGGAGCGAGCAACCAACUUAUUGGAAAUCAUACAUACUGAUGUGUGCGGUCCAAUGAGCGUUGAGGCUCGCGGAGGAUAUCGUUAUGUUCUCACUCUCACUGACGACUUGAGUAGAUAUGUGUAUGUCUACUUGAUGAAACACAAGUAUGAGUCCUUUGAAAAGUUCAUGGAAUUUUAGAAUGAGGUAGAGAAUCAACGUGACUGAAAGAUAAAGUUCUUACGAUCAGAUCGUGGAGGAGAAUAUUUAAGUCACGAAUUUGGUACGCACUUAAGGAAAUUUGGAAUCAUUUCACAACUCACGCCACCUGAACACCUCAGCGUAACGGUGUGUCCGAACGUCUUAAUCGCACUUUAUUGGAUAUGGUGCGAUCUAUGAUGUCUCUUACCGAUUUACCGCUAUCAUUUUGGGGAUAUGCUCUAGAGACAGCUACAUUCACUUUAAAUAGGGCUUGUCUAAAUCCGUUGAGACGACACCAUAUGAAUUAUGGUUUGGGAAGAAACCUAAGCUGUUGUUUCUAAAAGUUUGGGGAUGCGAUGCUUAUGUCAAGAAACUUCAACCUGAAAAGCUCGAACCCAAGUCGAAAAAAUGUGUCUUCAUAGGAUACCCUAAGGAAACCAUUGGGUAUACCUUCUACCUCAAAUCCGAAGGCAAGAUCUUUGUUGCCAAGAACGGGUCCUUUCUGGAGAAAGAGUUUCUCUCGAAAGAAGUAAGUGGGAGGAAAGUGGAACUUGAUGAAGUACUACCUCUUGAACCGGAAAGUAGCGCAGCUCAGGAAGAUGUUCAUGUGGUGCCUGCACCGACUAGAGAGGAAACUAAUGAUGAUGAUCAAGGUACUUCGGAUCAAGUAACUACUGAACUUCGUAGGUCCACGAGGACACGUUCCACACCAGAGUGGUAUGGCAACCCUGUCCUCGAAAUCAUGUUGUUAGACAACGGUGAACCUUCGAACUAUGAAGAAGCGAUGGCGGGCCCAGAUUCCAACAAAUGGCUUGAAGCCAUGCAAUCCGAGAUAGGAUCCAUGUAUAAAGACGAAGUAUGGACUUUGACAGACUUGCCCGAUGAUCGGCGAGCGAUAGAAAACAAAUGGAUCUUUAAGAAAAAGACGGGUGCGGAUGGUAAUGUUACCAUCUAUAAAGCUCGACUUGUCGCUAAGGGUUAUCGACAAGUUCAAGGGGUUGACUAUGAUGAGACUUUCUCUCCCGUAGCGAAGCUGAAGUCUGUCCGAAUUAUCUUAGCAAUUGCCGCAUACUAUGAUUAUGAGAUAUGGCAAAUGGACGUCAAAACGGCAUUCCUUAACGGCUAUCUUAAGGAAGAACUGUAUAUGAUGCAGCCGGAAGGUUUUGUCGAUCCUGAAAAUGCUACCAAGGUAUGCAAACUCCAGCGAUCCGUUUAUGGGCUGGUGCAAGCAUCUCGGAGUUGGAACAUUCGCUUUGAUGAGAUGAUCAAAGUGUUUGGGUUUAUGCAGACUUAUGGAGAAGCCUGCGUUUACAAGAAAGUGAGUGGGAGCUCUGUAGCAUUUCUCAUAUUAUAUGUAGAUGACACACUUUUGAUGGGAAAUGAUAUAGAACUUUUGGACAGCAUUAAGGCCUACUUGAAUAAGUGUUUUUCAAUGAAGGACCUUGGAGUAGCUGCUUACAUAUUAGGCAUCAAGAUCUAUAGGGAUAGAUCGAGACGCCUCAUAGGUCUUUCACAAAGCACAUGCCUUGAUAAGAUAUUGAAGAAGUUCAAUAUGGAACAGACCAAGAAGGGGUUCUUGCCUGUGUUGCAAGGUGUGAAAUUUAGCUCAGCUCAAUGCCCGACCACGGCAGAAGAUAGAUAAAAGAUGAGUGCCAUCCCUAUGCCUCAGCUAUAGGGUCUAUUAUGUAUGCCAUGUUGUGUACCAGACCUGAUGUAAACCUUGUCGUAAGUUUGGUAGGAAGGUACCAAAGUAAUCCCGGCAUGGAACACUGGACAGCGGUCAAGAACAUCCUAAAGUACCUGAAAAGGACUAAAGAUAUGUUUCUCGUUUAUAGAGGUGACGAAGAGCUCGUCCUAAAGGGUUAAGUCGACGCUAGCUUCGACACAGAUCUGGAUGACUCUAAGUCACAAACCGGAUACAUGUAUAUUUUGAAUGGUGGGGCAGUAAGCUGGUGCAGUUGCAAGCAAAGCGUCGUGGCGGGAUCUACAUGUGAAGCAGAGUACAUGGCAGCCUCGGAGGCAGCGCAUGAAGCAAUCUGGGUGAAGGAGUUCAUCAUCGACCUAGGAGUCAUACCCAAUGCGUCGGGGCUGAUCACACUCUUCUGUGACAACACUGGAGCUAUUGCACUUGCCAAGGAGCCCAGGUUUCACAAGAAGACUAGGCACAUCAAGCAUCGCUUCAACUCCAUACGUGAAAAUGUUCAAGAUGGAGACAUAGAUAUUUGUAAAGUACAUACGGACCUGAAUGUAGCAGAUCUGUUGACUAAACCUCUCCCUAGAGCAAAACAUGAUCAACACCAGAACUCUAUGGGUGUUCGAUUCAUCACAAUGUAACUACAUUAUUGACUCUAGUGCAAGUGGGAGACUGUUGGAAAAAUGCCCUAGAGGCAAUAAUAAAAUGGUUAUUAUUAUAUUUCCUUGUUCAUGAUAAUUGUCUAUUGUUCAUGCUAUAAUUGUGUUAUCCGGAAAUCGUAAUACAUGUGUGAAUAUAUAGACCAUAACACGUCCCUAGUAAGCCUCUAGUUGACUAGCUCGUUGAUCAACAGUUAGUCAUGGUUUCCUGACUAUGGACAUUGGAUGUCAUUGAUAACGGGAUCACAUCAUUAGGAGAAUGAUGUGAUGGACAAGACCCAAUCGCAAGCGUAGCACAAAGAUCGUGUAGUUCAUUUUGCUAGAGCUUCUCCAAAUGUAAAGUAUCAUUUCCUUAGACCAUGAGAUUGUGCAACUCCCGGAUACCGUAGGAGUGCUUUGGGUGUGCCAAACGUCACAACGUAACUGGGUGACUAUAAAGGUGCACUACGGGUAUCUCCGAAAGUGUCUGUUGGGUUGGCACGAAUCGAGACUGGGAUUUGUCACUCCGUAUGACGGAGAUGUAUCUCUGGGCCCACUCGGUAAUGCAUCAUCAUAAUGAGCUCAAUGUGACCAAGUGUCUGGUCACGGGAUCAUGCAUUAUGGUAUGAUUAAAGUGACUUGCCGGUAACGAGAUUAAAUGAGGUAUUGGGAUACCGACGAUCGAAUCUCGGGCAAGUAACGUGCCGAUUGACAAAGGGAAUUGUAUACGGGAUUGAUUGAAUCCUCGACAUCGUGGUUCAUCCGAUGAGAUCAUGGAGGAGAAUGUGGGAGCCAACAUGGGUAUCCAGAUCCCACUGUUGGUUAUUGACCGGAGAGGCGUCUCGGUCAUGUCUGCAUGUCUCCCGAACCCAUAGGGUCUACACACUUAAGGUUCGGUGACGCUAGGGUUGUUGAGAUAUUAGUAUGUAGUAACCUGAAAGUUGUUCGGGGUCCCGGAUGAGAUCCCGGAUGUCACGAGGAGUUCCGGAAUGGUCCGGAGGUGAAGAUUUAUAUAUAGGAAGUUCAGCUUCGGCCAUCGGGAAAGUUUCGGGGGGUCACGGGUAUUGCACCGGGACCACCGGAAGGGUCCCGGGGGUCCACCGGGUGGGGCCACCUAUCCCGGAGGGCCCCAUGGGCUGAAGUGGGAGGGGAACCAGCCCCUGGUGGACUGGUGCGCCCCCCCCCCUUGGGCCCCCCCUGCACCUAGGGUUGGAAACCCUAGGGGUGGGGGCGCCUCACUUGCCUUGGGGGGCAAGCCACCCCCUUGGCCGCCGCCCCCCUUGGAGAUUGGAUCUCCUAGGGCCGGCGCCCCCCCUAGGGGCCCUAUAUAAGGAGCGGGGGAGGGAGGGCAGCCGCACCCAAGUCCCUGGUGCCUCCCUCUCCCCACGCACCAGCUCUCCCUCUCGCUGAAGCUUGGCGAAGCCCUGCCAAGAUCACUGCUGCAUGCACCACCACGCCGUCGUGCUGCUGGAUCUCCAUCAACCCAUCCUUUCCCCUUGCUGGAUCAAGAAGCAGGAGACAUCUUCCCGACCGUACGUGUGUUGAACGCGGAGGUGCCGUCCGUGCGGCGCUAGGAUCUCCGGUGAUUUGGAUCACAACGAGUACGACUCCAUCAACCCCGUUCUCUUGAACGCUUCCGCUCGCGAUCUACAAGGGUAUGUAGAUGAUAUCCUCUCUCUCGUUGCUAGAUGACUCCAUAGAUUGAUCUUGGUCAAGCAUAGAAAUUUUUUAUUUUCUGCAACGAUCCCCAACAUUUAUACAUAAAUUUUGACAUUUCAGCACACACACACAUAAAUCAUUUCAACCACUUAAGUUCGACACACAAGUUGGUUCAAGACACAAAUAAGUUCGACACACAAGUAGUUCAUUCAACCUCAACACAAAAGUAGGUUCAAAACACAAAUAAGUUGGACACAUAGUCAUUGCAGCCACUUGAACCUCUCCAACAUGACACCAAACCAACUUGAGUAGAUUUCGUCUUCUACUCACUUCAUGAGCCUUCGCAUCUCAAACCGCCAAAUCCUAAUUUGGGAAUUGUGAGACAUGAGAACUUGAGAGCUUUAUGUAUACAAGAUAUGUUUGCAAAAUCCUAAUUUCGGAAUUGUGGAUGGAUGGACGAGUUCCGGCAGCCCAGCGGGGGGCGCGUGCACGAGCUCGGCGGCAGCCGCUGGUGUUGGGGAAUGCGGUAAUUUAAAAAAAAAUCCUACGAUCACGCAAGAUCUAUCUAGGUGAUGCAUAGCAAUGAGAGGGGAGAGUGUGUCCACGUAUCCUCAUAGACCGAAAGCGGAAGCAUUUAGUUAACGCGGUUGAUGUAGUCAAACGUCUUCGCGAUCCAACCGAUACAAGCACCGAAUGUACGGUACCUCCGCGUUCAGCACACGUUUAGCUCGAUGACGUCCCUCGUACUCUUGAUCCAGUUGAGGCCGAGGGAGAGUUUCGUCAGCACGACGGCGUGGUGACGGUGAUGAUAAAGUUACCGGCGCAGGGCUUUGCCUAAGCACUACAACGAUAUGACUGAGGUGUGUAACUGUGGAGGGGCGCACCGCACACGGCUAAAACAAUUGUCAACUUGUGUGUUCUAGGGUACCCCCCUGCCCCCGUAUAUAAAGGAGAAAGGGGGAUGCCGGUCGGCUCUCUAGGGCGCGCCAAGGGGGGAGGAAUCCUCCUCCUAGUAGGAGUAGGACUCCCCCCCUUUCCUAGUCCUACUAGGAGAAGAAGGAAGGAGGGGGAGGAGAAGGAAGGAGGGGGCGCCUCCCCUUCCCCUAGCCCAAUUCGGACUAGGCCCAUGGGGGGGCAUGGCCAGACCCUGGCCGCCCCUCUCUCUCUCCCUUAGGCCCAAUAAGUCCCAUUACUUCUCUAGUGGUUCCGAUAACCCUUCCGGCACUCCGGUUAUAUCCGAAACUUCCCCGGAACACUUCCGGUGUCCGAAUAUAGUCGUCCAAUAUAUCAAUCUUUAUGUCUCGACCAUUUCGAGACUCCUCAUCGUGUCUGUGAUCACAUUUGGUACUCCGAACAAUCUUCGGUACAACAUAUCACAUAAACUCAUAAUACCAAUCGUCAUCAAACGUUAAGCGUGCGGACCCUACGGGUUCGAGAACUAUGUAGACAUGACCGAGACACGUCUCCGGUCAAUAACCAAUAGCGGAACUUGGAUGCUCAUAUUGGUUCCUACAUAUUCUAUAAAGAUCUUUAUCGGUCAAACCGCAUAACAACAUACGGUGUUCCCUUUGUCAUCGGUAUGUUACUUGCCCGAGAUUCGAUCGUACGUAUCUAAAUACCUAGUUCAAUCUCGUUACCGGCAAGUGUCUUUACUCGUUCCAUAAUACUUCAUCCCGCAACUAAAUCAUUAGUCACAAUGCUUGCAAGGAUUAUAGUGAUGAGUAUUACCGAGAGGGCCCAGAGAUACCUCUCCGAAACACGGAGUGACAAAUCCUAAUCUCGAUCUAUGCCAACCCAACAAACACCUUCGGAAACACCUGUAGUGCACCUUUAUAAUCACCCUUUUACGUUGUGACGUUUGGUAGCACACAAAGUGUUCAUCCGGUAUUCGGGAGUUGCAUAAUCUCAUAGUCUGAGGAACUUGUAUAAGUCAUGAAGAAAGCAGUAGCAAUGAAACUGACACGGUCAUAAUGCUAAGCUAAUGGAUGGGUCAUGUCCAUCACAUCAUUCUCCUAAUGAUGUGAUCUCGUUCAUCAAAUGACAACACAUGUCUAUGGUUAGAAAACAUAGCCAUCUUUGAUUAACGAGCUAGUCUAGUAGAGGCGUACUAGGGACUAUAUGUUUUGUCUAUGUACUCACACAUGUACUAAGUUUCUGGUUAAUACAAUUCUAGCAUGAAUAAUAAACAUGUAUCAUGAAUUAAGGAAAUAAAUAAUAACUUUAUUAUUGCCUCUAGGGCAUAUUUCCUUCAGCUGGGCGCGUCGUUGCGUGGAAGGUCUGGUGGUGCGGUCGUGCUUGCGCGGGGUAGAAGGAGGCCAGAGGUGUGGGUGCAAGGAGAUCCGAAGAAGCCGAGAAGGAGCAGGUCGAAGGCAGUGGCGCGGCGCCGACCGCCUAGGGUUAGCAGGUGGGCGGGAUUUGGGUUUGGUUGUGUGGGUGAUGGCGCAAGGGGGUGGGCGCGGUUUGGAUCGGGAAGGGGGGUGUGGGUGGUCCAGCCAGCAGUAGCUUAGGGUUUUCUCAUCUAAGUCAAUGACACAUGGGACCUACUUGACAGGGUUAUUAUUAUACGGGUUUGAGGGUUCACGAGUAUGGCUAUUGCCUUCCCAUACUCGUACCCGCCUUACCCAUUGGAUAUGAUUUUUUUCCCAUUUAGAAACCCAUGGGUAUUUUAAUUUCCCAUGCCCUUACCCUAAUAGGGUAUUUACCCGUCGGGUUCGCGGGUUGCGGGUACCCGUUGCCAUGUUGACUCUCCGCCUUCUUCCCCUCCUUCAUCUUGUGAUACUUGCCUCAUUCUUCUUCGUCGUGAUGUGCAAGAACUUCUCCGUCAUCUUGGCCGCCGCCCCUUCUCGCGUCUCCUUCUCCUCCUAUCACUUGCUCCACAAGUUCCUAAUCAUCUUCUUGGUCGGAGCAAGCCCUCCUUGUGCUGGAACGGUUGGAUCACAACCUUCGUAUUCAUUGAUCAUGACGGUCUUGGCAGAAUUUCAAACAAGGAGUUUCACUUGCUUUGUCCAUUCAACUUUAACCAACAAUGCAUAUAGUUGAAGUGCUUCUUCUCCAUCUUGUAAUAUAAUACACGCGCACAUAGGGACUAGAAAAGAAAGGUAAUGGAUGGUCAACAAGUUGCAACAUUAAGCAAAUCAGUAAAAUGGCCAACAAAUAGAGCCGCAUGCCACAAGACUUACGAGAUCUUGGAUUGUUGUACCACUUGGCCAUCAGGUUUUCACUUGUUUGAAAAAGCCGCGAAACUUGUUGAGGAUCUCUUGAAUAUUGUAUCAUCGAUGGCUGAGUGACUUUGAAUUCCGCUGAUGGAUCACUUCCUUGCGGUAGGGAUCGUUCUGCUUUUGCUGGUGAAACCAAAUAUGCAUGCUUUGCCAAAACGCCGCACCCUAAAAUGUAUCGAUGGCCAACCAUACCACACACAACAAUUCAUCCUUCUUUUGAGUGAAAUUUAGCCCCCUCCGCUUCAUCUUGGGUCGGCACACGAUGAUCACUGCUCGUUUGGAUCCAUGUCUGACUUCUGGGUGUCCCGCUGGCUGUGAGUGUUCCUUGGCUAAAAGUCCUUCGCUUGUCCAUCUUCGUAGUCGUCCGCGUCGUGGAUAGUUUUCAUCAUUGCGUCAUCGUCUACCCCGUCCCACUUGGAUGAUGCAUUGCGGUAAAUAGUGAUUGGGUACCGACGGAUGAGCGAUCCACAUCCGGCAUCUGCGACUGGACAAGCCCCGCCAAAUGCGACUCCAUGAAGACAUAAUUGGUGUUGAGGUUAACAGUGAACGGGACUCGAUGGCUGGAGGUGAAGGAGGACGCGGACUGCUGCGGCGAUUGUUGCAUACCAAAGUGUUGGGAGGUGUAGUAGUAGGAUGGCUUCGGCUGAGACGAUCACACCGUCGAUUGUGCAGGCCACACGAGGGUGGCGACAAGCUAUGUCGGAUGAGGUCCUUUCUAACCGAUCGCCUACGCACUGCCAGACUUCUUUCUCGCCUUGUGGCGACAGACGUUGCCUUCCACGCCUGCGACCUUCCGGGCGGCCUCCAUGCUCGGGUCCUUUGGCUCCGGCAGGGCGAUGAUCAACGGUCCUCCAGCGGUACCUCUAUCACUCCGAUGGACCGCCUAACGGUAGGAGGGAGGCGAUGAUCGAGACAGAGACAUGGAAAAUGGAUGGCUUUCGCAUGAGAACAUUGAUGGGAAUGUCCAAAUUAGUGAGCUCGGGUGGAGUUUGUGGGUGUAUUGGGCGUGUCGAAGUCCGACGUGGCGGUCGUCUGGACGCCCGCAAAUCUCCCCUACGUUUGAUUCCAAUUUGUGAGAUUUCAAACGUCCGGAUUGGUCCAGACAAAUUUAAUGAUUGUUGGAUGGCAAAAAGAUGUCUGAACUGUUUGAUCCAAACAUUUAGGGGCAUUUUGGUGAUCCAUGUUGGAGUUGCCCUUAAGGAUGGCAAAUUUUUCUUGUGCCCCCAAUUGCAUGGGUGCAUGUGACAGCCGGUUGGUUGAAGGCAUCAUCGAUCAUGGUCCAUGCAUGGAUGACUAGAUGUCACUCGUGACACGCACAAAAGUUUCGCAGUGGACCCUUGCACAUGCAGCACAACACUAGGCAGGCACUAGGGGUCCAGCUCCACCUAGGAAGCACUUGUUUUAUCCAGAAUCCUGGUGGGCGCGGGUGACUGUUCUAUUCAAAAGCUAAUUGGAUAAACACCCGGCUUUUAGUUAAGUUUUUACAGGUUCCGUCCAGAGCUUAUAAAAGGCGCCCCCUCCUUCCCAUUCAGAGCACGGAGCUCCAGCACCAACCCACAAACCCACAGACACACCAACAACCUCAAGACAGAGGCCGGAAACUGAGGCGCAAAGGAAGGAAGCAGAGCAAAGUCUUCUCUCCGCCUCCGCGUCUUACGAGAGAAACAAGCCUUCGGUUCUUCAUUCCAACAGGAAAUGGAGAAGGCAGGACACGAGCAUGUGAUCGGCAUCCCAGUGAGCAGCACUGCCAUCGGCAUCGAGGAGCCCGAGUUCACCAGCGAUGGACCUACCAAUGUCCACGGUGAUGCAAAAUACUCGACGAGCACGCGUACCGGCGGCAAAUCGGGCAGGGCAGCGGACAAAUUCGCUCGAGGAAUCAGAGAACAUGGUAAGUCCUCCUUCUCCAGUCCGUCUGGAUGAAUCUUGUAGCCUUUCCUGUUCAUAUGUAGGUUCAUCAGUUGUGAAUUAGACACUGAACAUAGAUAUGUCCUUGUGCAGUGAGUCUCGGCCCAAAACUGUACGAGACCGUGAGGGGCAAGCUGUCGCUGGGCGCGAGAAUCCUCCAGGCCGGCGGCGUGGAGAAAGUCUUCCGGCGGUGGUUCUCCGUGGAGAAGGGCGAGAAGCUCCUCAACGCCUCGCAGUGCUACCUGUCCACCACCGCCGGCCCGAUCGCCGGGAUGCUCUUCGUAUCGUCGGAGAGGGUGGCCUUCCGCAGCGACCGGUCGCUGGCGCUGACCUCGCCCAAGGGCGACACGGUGCGGGUGCCGUACAAGGUGGCCGUCCCGCUGAGCAGGGUGAAGGCGGCCAAGCCGAGCGAGAACCAGCACCGGCCGGAGCAGAAGUACGUCCAGCUGGUGACCGACGACGGCUUCGAGUUCUGGUUCAUGGGCUUCGUCAGCUACCAGGCGUCCCUGCAGCACCUCGAGCAGGCCAUCGCGGAGUCGCACCUCUGACCCCAUUGAUUGAUCAAAGAAGCACGUACGCGCUGUGUGUGUUGUGUUGUGUGUGUGCUGGUCCGGUUAAUAUGUUGUGCAUAGGUAAGUUAGGGUUUCAUGGUGGAUUGCUUGUCGUUUUUGGCAUUGGAGCAAGUCCGGUAUACUUAAAUGGUAGGGGAAAUUUAAUUUAGGGCGUGAAAAAUUCUUCAUGUUGAAGAAGUACUGUAUGUGUAUGGUACAGUCGCCACGGCAAAACUGCCAUCAUAAACGUGUGGUAUGCACUAGUUCAGUGAGAAAAAUCGUGAAUUGUUUGUUCCACUUCUUUACAACUUGCAAGUGCGUCCAGCCCGUCUCUUUUUUUCAGCAUUUCUUUGAGGAAAUGUUCUCAAAACCCUGUAAAGCUAAAGCUCAGGCCGAGACAGGCUGUGUAUGCUUACAUAAAGAUGUGAAUUUAUAUUAUCAAGAGAAAUCAAACCUAACUUGAGCUGUCAAGUGGCCAUAAUUCAUAGAAACACCUGUAAUGUAUGCAACUGCCCUAACCUACGUUAUUUGUUGAACUGAAAAGUACAGAAGAAAAGAAACAGCACUGAGAGAACAAAAUUUGUGGAACAAUACCAAAGAACACCGGAUGUCUAUCGGUGACGCAUGGACCUGGAACCACAAGUGGUGACAGCUAGCUGCAUAUUCAGGGGUAUGUCCCAAAUAUAUUUCUAAGCAUCACACUUUUUUGUGAAUGCCAUUAAGUUAAUCCCAACGAAAUUAAUACUGCAAUAUAUGGCCUCGCCAGCUGAUUCCCAUCGAAUAUUCUGAUAACACAUGCAUGUGGCUAUUUUAUACUAUUCUCUUCAACCAUAUUUAAGAACAUAAUGAGUAAUUAAUAAGAGAAGGAUUCAUAUGGAAUGGGCACUGUAUGUCCACUGCGACUGUUUUCUUUUAACAAAGGCAAAUGCUUUGCCAUGUUUAUUUAAUAUAAGUAGGGUCUUAUAACAUGUACAAGAGAGAGAGAGAGAAAAAGGGUCAAACCGAAAGCAUACUCUUCCAAUAUCAACUCUCCUAAUUGCUUUGCUUCGGCCAUCAUACAAGCUUUUGGUAACAAGAACCAAACACUUUUGAAGGCUUGUGUUCUGCUCGUUCCAAAUUAUUUAUGAUACAACAACAUAAGGUUGUGACGGGCCAUGCUGUCGAGGCAACCUUCAACUAGUGAUGCAAGGAGACCACAUACAACAAGUUUAGACAUAUGUCAUAUUGUUAGCCAAGAUUUUGCACCCCCGGCGACUCCGAGCUUGACAAGAUAAGCGGCGUCGCAGCGUAAGGAUCCUUUCGGCAUUGACAUGCCUUACAGUUCCUUGCCUUCUGCUUUGGUCAAAACUUAAUUUAGGCAGGCCCAUCUAGCCUCAUGGGUUGAUAACUUUUCACACGAUGAGGAUUCCCCACGGUCGGUAUUUUACAUUCCAAAAAUGCUAGACCUACGUAAUCUAACUACGUAAACUUAUGUUCCUUCCAUCCUAAACUAAUUAGGUCCCCCUGAUUUUCAGUGGGUAGGAGUGGGCAUGUUUUCUCUCCCAACCAAAUCUGACCACCUCAACUUUUUCGUAGGUUACGUAGAAAAAAUUAUGUAGAUGCAGCAAAGCUCUUUACAUGCCCAUGGAGGACCUUAUAUAGCCUAGGGGUCCUUCACAAAUGACCAAGGCUACCCUUGAGGAGACGAGGUAGGAGGGUAGAACUAUAGAUAAUUUCCCGUCCUUUGAUUCAUGUGCCUCUAGUCUAGUUAGGAGGUGGGUUGUAGCCCACUAAGUAGAGAAUCCCUAUACUAUUUGAAGGCCUUCUUGAUUGGGCUCGGGCUCUUUGCUACUUUGUAAUGUGGUCUUCUUUCUUUAACUUGUUGACCAUAAAUGUUUGCUUGGACUUCCAUUGACCAAGGUGGCUUGCUAGGACCCACGACAGCUUGCUUGGACUAUUUGUUCACCUCAUUGACUUGCGUGGAAUAUCCUUCAAUUUUGUUGACUACCGAUGUGGCAUGCCAUGUAGGAUAGGGGGUGGGACCUUGAGUAGGGUUGAACCCAUUACUACAACAGGACCAAAAGGCCAUUCUUGCACCUGAACUUAACAUUGUUCUCUACCCCACCCGGAGAGUGAAGAUAGAAAACCGUCUAGAUAUCAGAUUUAUUUUGUGAUAAAGGGCGUCUCUAUUAACUCAUCAUAUAACAUCAAGAGAUAAAAUAAUAAUGAGCAACAUUCGUCCUCUGUAUAACUUGGAUGACAAGCCCAAUGACAUCGAUACGCCCAUACAAGACUAAUAUGUAGCCCAACUCUCUAGCUCCAAAACCCACAUAUUUUGCAACAGGUUUAGGUUGCUUCAACGCAGUACGGUGUUCAGUCCCGUGGGAAUACCUCUUGCAAACCACACAAUAGACAUUACCUUUCAAGUCUUUAUUCCCAUGUCGAAUCCCUUUGCACUUGCCACAUAUUUGAUCACUCAUUCUGCCAUAUUUGCUCUCUCCUUUGUGGGCAAACUCUCUGGUGGACACCUCUUUGUCAUUUAAGGGCACAAAAAAUACAUUCAUUUUAGGAACAAUAGACAUGAGAUACUAUUUGUGCCAUAUGUUCACUUGGCAUAAAACCCAUCAGCCUCAUUCCCAAGCCAACAUGCACCAACUGAGGGAAAUUAUGAAUUGGUAAGGAAGAAAAUUGUACUCGCGACUGCUGCAAACUCCUCAUCUAAGCUACUCCACCAAUUUUUUGAUUAGAAGGGCUUGGAUUUUCCCACUUGUACCCCUUGUUGUGCUCCAGACACAUUGGUUAGGCAUAAAGGGGUUGCUACCAAACGUCCAAACCAACCUUGCAAUCUUCCAUUACUUUGACCCCGAUAGCCUGUCUGAGUAGGGGAAACCUACACCUCUAUUCAACCGAAAGACAUGUGCACCACUACUACCAAUAUUGUUCCCAUAGAAACCAUCUCUAAAUCCUCCUUCUCCAUCUUUCCCAUUAUAUUGAUCCUAGUUUCUGCUAUAUUGUCUGCCAUAAUUCUUCCUGCCCUGCCAAGAACGUGUUCUGACUGGAAUUACUACAUCACCUUGUCAUCCCUUGUUAGGCCUAGAUUGCCAUUUUCCUUGUCUUCCUGCCAUCAGAUCACCUCUAGUCUCUUCCCGCUCUUCCUCACAAAAACUAAAAGACCUACCCGCCACAGCCUCCUCUCUUGGGGUGGAGAGGGGACAGAAAUCAAGAUGAACUAGGGCGGGAAUGGGGGUGGGUAUAUCAAGAUACUCCCUCCGUAACUUAAUAUAAGACGUAUUUUGACACUGUCAUGGUGUCAGAGGGAGUAGCAGAUAAAGCUCUUUGUGUUUAAAGUUUCUCUCAAGAGCAACUCAACCCAGAAAUUAAGUGUGACUUGCUCUCCUCCUACCAUGGCUCAAAACAUACCAAGUUUAUUAAGAUUCAUGCACUCACGUGUUAGUUUAGAAAUCUAUGUAGCACAUCAAAAGGUCGUUGGUAUGAAUUCUGGGUUAGCAUUUGAUCGACCUAAUAAAACACACUGAAAAAUAUUCAUACGUUUACAUCUGCAUCGUAGGUGCAGGAGUAUUAUUGGGGGUAGGCGCAGCACAUCACCUUUUUUCCUUUCGAUAAAACGCAGGACAUCACUGUUACCACUACUAGUAGAAGGCCCGUGCGUUGCCACGGGCAUUUCCGUAUUUUUGUUGGUUGCAUAUAUAAAUAUAAUGCAUGUCAAAUUUAUGCGUGUAUAGAAAAGAUGACCAAUACAAUCAGAAAAUAAAUAAAAUUUACUUCACUUGCAAUGUAUAAGUUGACAAAAAUUACAAUAUGGCGAUUUAUACAUAGGGAGCAAUGAUUCAACAAAUUAUCUGUUACAAACUAAAAUCUACUUGAUGCAUUUAAGAUAUCCCCGUAUGACGUUAGUAAUGGUUGUCUUUAGCUUCAUUUGCAUGGUUCUAGCACGUAAGGUUAUGAUAAUUCAAUAUAUGAUUAUGAUAAUUUACACACAAUUGUAGAUCCAUAAAGUGUAUAGGAGGGUCUAGAACCAAGAAGACCUCAUCGCAUCCAAGCAUGCAUAUGGCCAUGUUGAAACAAAUCCAAAGAGUGCUCCCUGUUAAGUAGGGUUUAGGGUUAGGCCUACCAAUUGUAGGGUUUAGGGUUAGGCCUACCUAUUGUAGGGUUUAGGGUUUAGUAUAUCAUCAAAAGAAAUCAAAAAAUUGCUUUAGUAUAUCAUCCACACGAUUAACAUGCCUACAUGUAGGAGUGUACUAAUAAAGAUUUUUUUUAUCAAUUUUGCUUUCUCAAGAGUUCAUGUAACAUAAUAAGUUUGUGUUGAUGAAUAUAUAAACUUAAUUUUUGAGUUUGGCAAGUGUUUACCCAUCAGUUUGCAUUUGAUUUAUGAAUCUAUUUUACACGGACCAGUAUGUAACAUUGAGAUCACUUGUUGGUGAUUAUUCUCAAGAAAUUACUUGGGGCAUGUGAUAUUUUCAUUAAAUAAAAAAGUAUGUGGCAACUCUCACAGCAAAAAACCACUUUUCCCUUACACAUACACACAAUAAAAACAACUAUACCUUUAUUCCAAAAAACCAAAAGCACAUUUCUCGACAUUCAUUUUGUUCCUUAGCAAUUUCCCCCGACCCACGCGUUGCCUAGCUCUGGCGGCUCAAGGGAAACCUAACCGUGCCGUCGUCCCUUCCCCUCGCUGGCUCCUCCCUUGACCGCUACCGCGAGACCAUGUCGCAGUGGCGGCGAACCCCAUUCCCACAGGGGAUGGGGAUCGCCGGUCGUCCUUGCGCGGCGGAGCAUGUCUGUCGGGGCAGCAGGCCUGGGCUAGUGAUGGGGGCACUCUACGGCGUGGCGGCGGUGCAUUGCACGCCUGCUUGCAGUGGUUACGAUGCGGUGGCAGGGAUUCAUCUCGCGCAUUGGUGCUGUUCACGGCAGGGGAGGCGUCGUCCCUUCCCAAUAUGUGUGGCGUGAGCUUUGGCUGCGCAUUUGCCCGUCCCUGCGACGCGAUUCCGGUGGCUGGGGGCUUGGGUUGAAGCUCUGCUAGGUUUGCGUCAGUGGUGACCGCUGCUUCUGUUGGCGGCUCGCCCGCUUGGUGCGAUUGUGUGGCAGCCCACCCUCCUGGCUCUCUGGUAUUGUGCGUCGCGUCGCCUUCAGUUUUCUUCAGUGUCUUGGCUCGGGAGACUGCCAAAACGGUCCGUCCUCGGGCGGAUCUAGCUCGCUAGUUCUUUCCGACUGGCGGCGAGGAUUGUGGUAGCUCCUACAUGGUCAGGGUGUGGUGGCUCCAUUGAGGUGUGUGGUCCAUCGGAGCUGUUGUGCGUGGGGGUGUGGGUUUGGGUGGUGCUCCGGGCGAAAGCUUGUCGGGCUCUUGCUGGCUGACGGCAUCGGCGUCUGUGGACGUCGUUUCAUGUCGUUGGAGACGCCACUGUGGAUUCCACCCUUUUCGCACCCUUGGAUCCAGUUCAUUGGGCAAAAGCCUAUGGCCUGGUCAGGUCGGACGAUGAUGUCGGCAUCACCGCUUCCCUCUUUGGGUCGUCGCCUGGAAGAACUUUGGAUCCCGUUUGUGCGCUCCAUGGGCUGGACGUUCGCCAUUACGGUCGGCAGGUGCCCGUUCAACAAUGUUUUUGAUCUGCGAGGCUUCUUUUCUGUGGCAAUGAUGGUGGCUUCGGCCAGAGAUGGCUUGCUGAUGGUCUUGGUAGUUGGUCUCUUCCGGUGUGUUCGAGGGGUCGCCGUGCCUUGCUUUGUCUUCCUAAAGUCGGAGCUGCUGAGGAGGGGCCAUUGCGGUGAAGAUGACACGAGACAGGUGGUCGGCUCUGUGGCUGGCUCGACGCAAACCCAACGCUUUUCUCCCCCAAUGCUCGUCGACAAAGUCGGAGCUGAUUGGUCGCCGGCACGUGUGGGUGACUGUUUGGCAUCAACCGCCGCAAACCUUGACGCUUGUUUGCGGUGAGGGCUUCUUUGGUGGUCGUCGAUGGUGGAGUUGGAGUCACCCUCAGGGAGGGGUGAUGACGGUGAUGUUGAGCUGCAACCUCGACAACGCUUUUCUCCUCGGUGACGUGUGUAUGUUCUUGUGCGAGUUGCCGGGUCGCCUCGUGUGGCUUGUUUUUGUGGGCGUGAUAUGUGACGGUUUAAAUCCUUUUUUGUUAAUUAAGCAGGUAAUUCUCUUUGACCUUUUUAAUGAAUCGGACCUAAGGACCGCGUUAAAAAAACAUGCUCCUUUUCUUCUUAUUAUCUUGGAAAAAAAUAUCACUCUCUCACCGCACGGUCACGACACAAGCCUUCACUCUCUCCCUGCAAGGCAGCGGUGCUGCCAUCUCUCCUUAUCUCCCCGCCACGGCGUGGCCGCCGCCAUAUCUCCCCUCAUGGCUACUCCCAGCUGCCUCCCCUCCAUGGCGUGUCAAUCAACCCACACCCUUCUCUCACCGCCGCCUCCCAUCCCCCAUGGCGUCGCUCAUCCCAUCCACUCCCCGCCACGGCGUUGCCAACACAUCUGGCACGGCGAGCAGCGAGAUCCGACCGGGAGGUGGAGAAGGCCUCGUUGUUAUCCGUUCGCAGAAGUCCACGUAGCUGGCCUGUCCGGAUUUGGGCAAGAUGACCUCAGGCACGAGGUGUGGCUCGACAAGUUGGAGGGAUGGCCCCCUGGUUCUCAGGCCCGGUCUUCUAGUUCAGCCGAGACGCACCGUCCAUCUCCAUAGCGGGGACAUCCCAGGCAGCAGCGGAGUAGCCUCCAAGGAAAGCCGGACCAAGCGUGAGCACGACAAGUAACUCGAGGCGCUGCACCGGUGACCAGUGAGUGUCCCCUCCCAAUCCCAUCCCCCCCUCUGUAACUAUAAGGGUUUCGUUCUGAUUCAUGUUGGUGAACGGGAAGUACAUUUGCUCUUGCACAUUUGGUCAGAUAAAUGUGAAGAUUUUUCUGGUUUACAUGCAUUAUCUGCUACCAGUUCGAGCAUAUACACAGUAUGACAUCCUAGCCCAAGAAUCUAGUUCAAGUGAAGUUGUAAUCUUAAAGAAUUGUACUUGGUAUUACAAUAACUGAGUGUCUUACUCAAUUCCUUGAUCGAAUUUGAAAUUUUGGUGUGUCUCAGAAUGAUGCUCCUUCUGAUGGACUGAAUGAUUUUACGGAAUUUAUUCUCAUGUGUGUGCAGUGGGAGUCUUGUACACGAAGAAGUACUACAAAUUGGCCAAGCACCAGUAUUGGAUGCGUCAAAUCUCGGACUGAUCAAACCCAACAGCCUCGUUCGGUUCAGGGGGAUGGUUCAGGACAUGCUCGGGGCGAGUUCUAUGCCGGCUCUUUAGAGGUACUGAAAUGAUUUUAUUGAUAGGCUGUGGUGAAGCUACAGCUCAUGCUUCUUAUGCUCAUUUGUAAAAAACAUUGUUUGUGAAGGAUGUGCUACCUGGAGGACAAAAAAGUUCACAGACUUCUCACCAUUCUCGAUGAUGUACCCAUGUGAUUCGCAUCUCUGGGAGCACCAUCUCUGCCAUUGCGUGCCUGUAUGUUACUACAUGCCUGAGCACUUGUUUUUUUCACUUUCUUACCAUUAGUGUAGUUCACCUGGAACUUAUGAAAAUAACUUCUUUAAGGUGCAUAGGCAGAAUUCUUGGAUACUGGAGUCUCCCCCUGGACCUGUCUUUCGCCAAAUGGCAAACUGGUUGACACCUGANNNNNNNNNNNNNNNNNNNNNNNNNNNNNNNNNNNNNNNNNNNNNNNNNNNNNNNNNNNNNNNNNNNNNNNNNNNNNNNNNNNNNNNNNNNNNNNNNNNNNNNNNNNNNNNNNNNNNNNNNNNNNNNNNNNNNNNNNNNNNNNNNNNNNNNNNNNNNNNNNNNNNNNNNNNNNNNNNNNNNNNNNNNNNNNNNNNNNNNNNNNNNNNNNNNNNNNNNNNNNNNNNNNNNNNNNNNNNNNNNNNNNNNNNNNNNNNNNNNNNNNNNNNNNNNNNNNNNNNNNNNNNNNNNNNNNNNNNNNNNNNNNNNNNNNNNNNNNNNNNNNNNNNNNNNNNNNNNNNNNNNNNNNNNNNNNNNNNNNNNNNNNNNNNNNNNNNNNNNNNNNUUUGUUACAAUAAUGAUUCUCAACAGUUUUGAUGUCCACUAACCAUCAUUGUCAUCUAAUGCAUUGCUUGCUAUAGGUUUCAUUGUCAUCUAAUCAUUCUCAAUAGUUUUUUUCACUUUCAUGCAGUAAGAAACCAGCAAGAACCGAACUUAGUUUUCUACCAUUGUGAAGGGCAAAGUUUAGGAAGCAACUUAAUCUUUAAGCUCUCUAUUUUUUCAUUCCCCCAUAUGAAAUUGUCUCAUAAUCUAGUUGUAUUUUUUCCUGGAUGCUAUGCUUUCAUCGUAGGCCUUUUAUUCUUUAGGUAAAUUGGAGCUUUAUCAAAUUAUGUAUAUAACGGGUGAUCUUAUCGGAAACAUAAUUUGAGAACUACUUCAUGUUUUUAGUUGCUGUUUUUUAGGGACAAUUAUUGAACGGUUUGUGCAUAAAUAUCAGACCAUCCAGCCUAACGCAGUGAAGUCACUGCCCUAUUAGGAGUAGGAAAAAAAUCAGUUCUUCGACCACACAACUGAAGCCUGAUUGUACUUCAGUUUACCAUCAAAUGGCCAGUUAGUAAGGUCUAGUAAGCAAUCUAGGCAGACACAUACAAAGUUAACAUCAAGUGGUUGAGUUAGCAAGAUCUAGCAAGCAAUCUAGACACGUGACCUACAUGGGAAAGAAGAAGACACGGAAGGAAAAGAAAGGCAGUGAGAACCUUUACCUAGACAAUUCAGUUCGUUUGCCAAGCCAUCGUUGGCUGGGCCAACCUUCGUCUUUCUCCUCCGAGCCAGCACCAAGAUGCCCAUCUCAUCCUGGCCGAGGAACCGCGACCCCGGCAGCUCGCCACUGGCACCAAAACAGCAUCUAUCCGUCCUGCCAGCGCCUGUCCCGACCAUGUAGGCUGCAAGGGGCCUGACAAAUAAUUUUGUUCCACAAAUUCUUGUGUAAACGAACAACACUGAACAAGGAUCCCUACAAUAGUGUUCCUAGAUACCAAAAAUGUUAUGCUAAACAUGCUACUGAUUGUGCGAAACUCAAAUACAAUGCUUACCAACCAAUCAAUAUGCCAAAGUAGUAUUUUUUGCAUUCCUUCAGGCCAACACAAAUUUAGCCCAGGUUUGAAGCCAUAGUGUAGUGUCUGAGUAAACCUUGUUGUAAUAUAAAAAGUGACUACACAAAUGUGUUCUGCACAGUGGGAUGUUGGUGCAUCUGUUGCAUCGUUGAAGUGGUCGGUGUACUGACUACUGAGUAGUGCCCAGGUUCUGUAGCUAGUCAACACCAAUCAUGAGGAACAUAUAACUUCAUGAUCCUCAUGUACAUCAGAUAACUUUAUCAACGGGCAUAUCUAGUCAUCAUUUAAGGACAGAAUCAAGAAAGCAGAGGCAAAUGCAAGGAGAGAAUAAAACCAUUACGUCAUAUUACUGGUCGAAUAUAACUGAAGCGUAAUCUAUUGUCGGGGAUAGCUAGCUCCCAGUAAGCAAAGAUGAUAUCAGUUGAAACAAUAACUGCUGCUGAAAUAACAUGUUUUCAUGACCAAUCUAAUUUGCUUGUAACAAAAAAAUCUAUGUCUUAUCUUAUAUAAGAAGUAAAUCUACACCAGCAACCAACAGAACAGGGGAAGAAUGGAAAUUUCGUAGGAGAAAUUGUGUUGGUCAUUGCUAUAGCUGCAAGUUGAUGAACUAAAAUAUUCUCCAACUCAAGGGAGGCACCACCGUACAUGUAAGCUAUAUAGUAACUAUCUUCUCUGAACGGGCCGUCGUCAUUUAUCGUUUACACCAUUUUCUAGUUGUUGUUACAUUUAAGAAAAACCAAACUAAUACUGAAAACACGUAUGAUAUUUUAAAAAAUAACACAUAUGAAAUUAUGAACUAAUUUAGAACAUUUUUUCAUAAGAAAAGGUAAAAUAGAGUCAUAGGCUAUCAUAUUGUUGCAAGAACACUUUCUGGAAAUCAAAAUGAAAUGAAAUAAUCAUACAUCAGUCUCCGCAAGUCUCACAUAGACCAUCUCAUAUAUGCCAAUUUCAUGUCAAAUAAUGAGAUCAUCAUCAAGAUAUAUCUUCCUCAUUACAGUGCAAAGUAAUAGCCUACCCCAACUUGUUUGGGACUAAAGGCUUUGUUGUUGUUGUAUUACAGUGCAAGGUAAUCACAAAUGGCUGUAAAUCAAUAGUAAUUAUGUAUAAGCAUGCAUGAGAUCAAUACUCAGGCCGUAGUGGAAAUUAGUGGUAAAUCGAUAAACAAAAUCUGUAUACGCUUGAGAGAAAAUUAGAAGUGCAUCUAACCAUAGCAUGUGCAGGUCACAUACCAAUAAUAGAAUAGUUGGCGUCGGGAAAAUCCACCAGAUCUUUAAUCAACGGAAAGAAAGCGACCCUCAUCCUCUAGUUGUCUGUCAUCCUAUAACCAGCACUCCAUCGUGAAUAUCAAUGCUUCCUUUCAUUUCCCAAACCUUCUUCUUUCACAUUUUCUUGUAAUGAUUCCUUUGAACAAAUAUCUAACCACACAUGCUUGUGCCAGUGCUGCUCGCAUCAUGUUCUCCUGGAAUCUAAUAUGUAGGUCUAAAUGUUCCAUUACCAAAAAAACUGGACAUUGAAGAUUUGCAUUACCAGUAGCUUACUUAUUACUGACAUUCAUGUGGGAUUGGAAGAAAAUUCAAUUUGCCUUUAUUUUAGAAAAGGUUACCUAAAUAGUCCUAGGAGACGCAGCGGCCACAGUCCAGGACGUAGCGUCUAUGUGUACUGGGCCUUUGGUGCACGACCGCGCGUGUCGGUUGGGGCCUCACAUGCUACCCGACACAGUCCUGCACUAACAAACUUUUGAUGUUUCCCUCCUCCAAGGUUGUGAACAUGAGACAAAUUUUUUUUGUCUUCGACCACUAAUCAAGUUUAGAACUGGUCCAACAAUUUCGUGAGAUCUGAAAGAAAAAGACAUGAUGCCACAUGGAAAUAUCAUGGCCACCGAAGUGUAGCACUUAUGAGUUCAUGAAACCACUUUCGUGAAGGAAAAGAAGAAGAAUACUGCUGGCAGUACAUGAAGUAGCAAGCAUAAUUCAAACAAAUAGAGUCAUGCUUAGAAUUAGGGAGCAAAGAUGAUUUCAAGAAUAAAAGCAAAAAUUAACUCAGCAGUGCUCACAUUAGUGGUGUUGUACCGCAAGAUGGAUGCACUGCGGAAAGGGAUAGGUGCAUCCAGCGCCAGCUAGAGGCGGACGGAAGUGAAAGGCACCAUGGCAUCAAAACAAGGGCUGAGAGGACAAGCGCAUGCCUCCGCCUCAUCGCUGAUCUUAGGCAUCCCUGAUUUCUCCAUUACGCAACCAGGGAUAAGUUCUGUCAAAUUACAAAUCACUAUGGCUGGGAGCUGGUGUCACCAUGGCUUGUCCAAAUCAAGCACUUAGUUCUUCUGGAUUGGAAAGACAACAAACUGAAUAAUUAGUGCAGAAUCACCCUGCAAAUCAAACAUGUUUCUUGUUUCUUCGUGCAACAUAAGCCCUGCAAAUCAAACAUGUCAUCAGCUAACUGAACAAUUUCCACAAGCACUCUCCAUGCCCUACAAAUCAAACAUGUCAUCACAUAGAUUAGAACAAAAUUUGGACUUGUUAUUUUUGACACUGUAAUACAUUUAAUCAAGUGAUUUCUAGAUAAAUGUGGAGUUAGGAAACAAAAACUUGACAGUGAUUUAGGAAAUUGCAAAACAUUUGUGCAGCAAUAUUAACAACAAUUCUGGUCCUUUUAGUAUCUCCAUACACACAAAAACGUGACAACACUAUAGACGCUUCAUGUGCAAUGGAGAUAGACAAAUUGCCUCCUUUCAUAAAGGUCCAUUAUGGAUGAGAAAAUUUAAAUGGAAGAAAUUGAGGUUUUUGAGCUUAGAAAACAUGAUAAGGAAGCAUUCGCAUAAAUAUUUGCAGUAGAAAUCAUGUAUUUGAAUACCAAUAACUGGUAAUGGUUCCACAACAGAUGUCCACUUGCAACAUUACUACUCUAGCUGUCCGACACAUAACCCGGGAGGGAAUAUAACUCUAUUGUAGCAUCUACCACAUUAUAUACAGGUGCAAUCUGCAAAAACCUAGUGAGUAACCGUGAUUAUUUUAGGUCUGCCAAACCAAAUGCAACCAAGAAAAAAUACAUUGAUGAGAUGAAUGGCUGCUUACUUCUCCCCGGGUUUAGAGUGUAUUCCUUUUAGCAUUCUUUAGACUUCUCUGGUAGCUGGAAUAGCAAGAGAGAAUUAUUAGGUAGUAACUUCUUUGAAUUUACAUAGCAAGGUCGCUGCAUUGGAACUACCAAUAAGACUGGAACUUCAACAUGCACAAAGCUAUGAUUAGGUUUAAGAAGCAAUAGAGCUUCAAAUAUGACAAUAUUUCUUAAAAAAGUAAUAAUUAUCACAAAAUAUUUCACCUCUAUGUUCCGAUCCCCCCACAUUCUUCCAUCAAAACCCAACAUUCAAUAGGAUGCCAGUAAAGAUAAACCAUAUGGGAGACAUAACAUGUGCAGCCACACAAAAACUUUAAGAAGUGCAACCUGUCGAAAACAAAACCCAUACAAACAUAUUUGCACUGGUAAGGAGGUAUAUAAGUGUGAGAGUCAAAUGUCACAACUUGGUAGCUGUGAAAAUUCAUUUGCAAACCAUUUCGUUUGUGGCUAUGGAGGUCGUGAUGGUCUAGCAUAACCACCCCAUACAAAUGUUGCCCUCCUAACUGAUGGAUAGUAAUUUCCGAACAUGUGGUGUAGCAUGAAUCUAGUAGUAUACGCGCGCUUUGCCACGCCGUUUUGUUUCUAACGUUCAUAGGUUUGCGAGGUGUGGUAAAAAUAGUUUGACCUUUGUAAUUUGGCUCAUGUACAGUAUCUCCCAUGAUAUACCUAAGUGGAUGUGAGGAACAAUAUAGAUCGUGCUAUUCAAUUGACAAAUAAAGAUACAUACAAAAAAAAGAUAAGCUAUGCAAAAUAAGAUAAAAUGGUUCUCAUCUAACCUCAAAUAAUGCCUGCUCAAAUGCAACAUUAAUCAGCUUAUUCUGAAAAUGUAAAUACAUGAAGUCAAGACAACUUGAAUCACCAAUGGUACUAAAAAGAUUUACAGGAAGUAAAGAAACAUCGGAUAAGCAUGCGGCCGUCCUAAAAUUUUCUGGAAAAUGAGUCAGAUCAGAUUCGUGAGCAACAUACAACAGAAAUCAAACCUGCAUAUUUUGUUCCUCAUACUGAGAUACAUUUUGGUUUCAACAAGUGCUCAAUGGGAAAACAAACUCUUUAUACUCCAUUGAUGUACUACAAUAGCAUUUAAGAAAAUUAGAAUUAUCACAAGUUAUCAUUUAUAGGAGAAGCGACAGUCAUAUAUCUCCAAAAUCACUGAACAACAAGAUUUGGUCACAAGCAGCUGCAAAAUCAUUUAUAGGAGAAGCAGUACAUCAUAUUGCUAUGAAAUAUCUCCAAAGUCACCCACCAUCACUUCAGGUUGAAUAGCAUUAUCUAAGGUCUAUUAUAGGCAGAAUAAUCAUGAGGGGCACAUGAAGGAAGUAAAUUUCUUACAUGAACAACAGUCAGCUGGUCCGCGUCUAAUGCAAGUCAGUGCAGCCUCUAAUCAACAUGCUUGAGCGAACAUGUUGAGCAAACAUACUGUGGAGCACAUAUAUUCAUGUCUAGCAAAAAAAAGGUCGAUUAUAGAUUAAUCAAGGGUAGUAGUUCAAAGUAGCAUCAGACAAACCCGUAUAUGUGGAAUACUUAAUCUUAUCUAGCUCAUCAUCCUCACCCUUUGUUCCAUAAUGUGCCACUGCAGCAGCAGUAGCAGCUUAACACAAAUUAGGAGUGAACAGCCAACCAAUCAAUCUGCAACAUGAGGGAGAGGCUUGAGACGGAAGAGCCAUGGCGGCAGUGCCAGGUUCUCUCCGUCCGCAAGACAAAGAGGACUAUCAGUAUGCUUAUCAGCCGCACCGUCCGUCCACGACUGCGCCGCUGGACGGCACCGACCCAUGGCUUGAGGCCAGCAUUACCCUGCUUUUCUGCAACAUAAAACCAUCUACCGGAGUAACAGGCGCUGACAGACAACAGCCCGCUCAAGAAAUUAAAGGAGGAAAGAAGAAGGGCAAACCUAAAAGUAACGAAGAAGGAAGACCAAGCAGGGGGAGUCGACCGCACCGAGACGGGCAGGGUUGUCGAUGCAGGUGAGGGCGAGGGCGGGGUCGAGGGGCUCCACGAACUCCUCAACGCAGCUGACGCCGGCAUCGAUGCGCGGGCGGCGCUUGAGCGUGAGGACGGCGCGGGAGGGGUCGCGGUCGUCGGUGCCGUAGAGGCGGACGUCCCGCUGGGCGGCGGUGGCGGCGGCGGCGGCGGCGAGGGGCCGCGCGGGGGCGUCGGUGCGGAGCAGGCGGGGCGCGAGGAAGGAGGAGAGGCUGGAAGGGGCUUGAUCUCGAUCUCCAUGGGGUUGGGGUUGCGGCUAGGGCUGGAAGGGGCGGGCGGCGGCGUCUAGGGAUCGAGAGGAGCGGACGAAAAAACCUCCGAAAAAAAACCUACGAAAAAAAAUCAGUGGAGGUGGGACGAAAAAAAACCGAACGAAAGUGGCGGGACGAAAAAAAAUUUGGAAGCGAGACUACCAACUGCUCCAUUAGGAGUAGAGAUUUCGCUGUGCCAUUUUCCAUCUUUUCCGAAGGACGGAACUGGUCGGCCUGAAACCGAUCUCGUCUCGUGAUCUCCCUUUCCCUCGCCGCGACAUCUCCGCUUCGGCUUCGACACGUAGUCCGCGGCGCAGAUACGCUGAGACGGCGGCGAGCCCCACCCGAAAGCCAAGAUCUGCCUCCGACGAGUAGAGUAGGUAGCUGCGGGCUCUCCAUGUGACAAGACAACGCGGCCGGCCGACGUCGCGCGCGCGCGCGCGCAUUCAUUCGCGCCCAACAAACCAUGAACCAAGCCUCGCAGAUUCGGGGACGGUGCAGCGGCCGACCUCGCAACGCCCGUGUGGUUGCCGGUUCAAAUCCGGGGGACAGAGACGGUAUGGCGCCCAUGCCGGCCGCGCUUGCCGGUGCACCGCUACCGGGUGGACACGCACGCACUGCGCCCCGGGCCGACGGUUACAUGCGAUGUUAGGUGAGGCUGCAGGCAUGCUGACUCGGUGCUGCGUGGGGUCUGACUCCGAACAGGACGUGUAGAUUUGUGGGUAGGGUAGCACGAGCGGAAACUUCGAUGGGUGGGCAAGCUCGGCUUGGAAGAGUACCAACUGCCAAACUGUUGUUAGCGGUGUUCUGGUCGAUUUUCAGUGAAAUGGCUGUGAGUGAGUCAUGUUCGCCCUGGUUCCACGUCGAUGAAUCGAUGGAUCAUGGUUAGAGGUCCAUUGCGGCAGCGAUCUCGGGAACAAACUCUUGCCGCCCUUGCGUUGGACCGUCAACAUUACAAACCUAGAUGAUGUGUACACAUAUAUGGUCCACGUGCAUGCACAUAUAUGGUCUACAUGCAUGCAUGUUACUGAUAUUAUGAUACAGUAGUAUACUUUUUUUUUUGCGGGAAGAUACAGUAGUAUACUGUCUGAGUGCAGUGCACGAGACGAAAGUCAUCUACACAGGCAUGGCAUCGAUCCCUACAAGAAAACUUAUGCAUCCUACUGGUCCUUGCACUGCGCAUCGAUGGGGUCCGUUGUUGCCCCCGACACGGCGCCACCCGCCUUUACCCGUAAUCCGGUGGGAGCGAGAAUGUGCAGGCACAUGGGGCGCUUCCUGGAAAGCGGCAGAGAACCCACCGCACGUAGCCAUCUCGCCAUGCCAUGCCCCGAUCCCAUAGAGAAAUCUCGAAUCGCGCUUUCGAGCAAAUGAAUAUACUGCACCUGGCCCUCCCAUGGAAAUGGAAAGGGGGCAAGGGCCAAGGGCCGCUAAAGCUCCGUCUCUAGCUAGGUUGGCCAGGCCGAAUUAGCCAAGGAAUGACGCGGCCAGCUCCACACACGAACGUGGACGACCGCGCGCGCCUUUCUGAUCCGCCGGUGACUCGGCCGGCCCGGCUGCUGACUCCGCAUGUCCGCUGCCUUUGCCAAAAGGAUCCACCACCGCGCGCGGCCGCCUAUAAAAGCCCGGCCACCGCAGCGGCACUCUGGUACCAAUCCCCGAUACCUUACUCGCUAAGUUAAGCCACCACCACCAGCGCAGCGCAACGCACGCCGGACCUAGUUGAUCGCUCGUUCUUCGUCGAGCUUCCUGCAGCAGCCAGCCAAGAUGAAGUCGAGCAGCGGCGGCCAUGUCGUGGGAGUCCCGGUGACCUCCAAGGCGUAUGGGAUUGAGGAGAAGGCGCCGUCGGCCAGGGACGGCCAGUCGUUCAGGAAGGCCGACGGCGACCACCUUGCUGUCUCCUUGACGAAUCCUAGCCCCUACACUUCUUUCGGCUACAAGCACAGUAGGUCCCGAUCAUUCAUGCAUGCAUGGCCAUAUUUUGCCAUCGAACUUCUGACGCAUGCAUGCAAGAGCAAAGAUGUUGAGGCUUAUGCUAGUGUGUUGAUUCUGCAGGCAGCAAAGGUCAGGUUGUCCACUGGGUGAGCAAGCUGAGCAGAAGGGCGCAAGGCUUCCGUGAGCAUGGUGAGUAGCACGCACUCGAUCGUGCAUGCAUGUUUCUUCUGUAAUUCAAUGGCUGUUAAAUGUUGGUGCGUGAAAGGUGCUUGUGUUCUGACCAACAUUGUUCACCGUAUGCAGUGACCCUGGGUCCCAAGAUAUCGGAGACCGUGAAGGGGAAGCUGAGCCUGGGGGCCAAGAUCCUGCAGGCCGGCGGGAUCGAGCGCGUGUUCCGGAAGGCGUUCACGGCCGAGAAGGGCGAGCGGCUGGUGAAGGCGCUGCAGUGCUACCUCUACACCACCGGCGGCCCCAUCGCCGGGAUGCUCUUCGUCUCCACCAAGAGGAUCGCCUUCCGCAGCGACCGGCCCGUCACCGUCACCUCCCCCAGGGGCGACGUGGCGCGCGUCUCCUACAAGGUGGUCGUCCCGCUCAAGCGGAUCGACAAGGUGCGGCCGAGCGAGAACGUCGACCGGCCGGAGGAGAAGUACAUCCACGUCGCCACCGUCGACGGCUUCGAGUUCUGGUUCAUGGGCUUCGUCAGCUACCAGAGGUCCUGCAAGUACAUGCAGCAGGUCAUCGGCGGUGCCGAGCUGCAAUGACUAGCCGAGCGGAGGAAGACGCGAGGCCCGCCGUUUGUUCCGUCGGCACGAUGAGAAGUGGAGUUGCGGGCUGCCGCUGCUGCUGCGCCAUCUUUUGCUGUGGAGCAGCAGGAGCAGCCCUGGCUGGAAUUGCUCGAUCUUAUUUCGGAUCGGAGCAACUUGGAUCCUUCCGCGUACGAUUUGGAUUGGCUUAUGUUUUUCCAAGCGAUUGCUUAAUUUGUACUAGGAUGGACAAAGAAAUUAACCGUGCUGCAUGUGAAUGAAUGGGAAGGCAGUUGUUCAAAAUUAUUGUCCUUAUGCAUGAUCUUAACUCUUAAGCUUCCAUAUAUCGAAUUUGCGAAAAUAUGAGACGAAUACAAUUGAACCAACUAGUAUCAGGCCGCUUCUAGGGGGUGCAAACGAGUCGACUUUAAGCAACCUAGACAUACCUAGGCUCAGCACAUGUUAACAAGGAGCUAGCUCAACAGAACUCUAGCUGCCCUAACAAAAUGAACUCUAGAUAGAAUUACAAUUGCAAAGUUGGCUGAUAGUUGGUUAGUAAUGAUCUUGAGUCGAUCUCAGGCCAUUUUUAGAAGAAGAAAAAUACUAGAAAUUAUUCUGAUUUUCAUCCUCUUUCUCCAGAUAAAGUACCUAUGGUACUCGAGCUAUGUGGUCAAAAUAGAAAGAGCUGGCCUUACUCAAACUCGGCUAACUAUUGAACCGAGCUAUAAAGAAGCUCAUACUCAACCAAUUUUCUUUUGAGUCUGUCUUGAGUCAAGCUCUUUUUCUUUUUCUUUUUCUUUUUGCUCUUGAGCGGUUCACGAGCCUUGGGCUUUUCUUGCAACCCGUUUUGUCCUGACAGACGAUUGUGCUCGAAAGUUCUUCUCUCACAUGUUCAACUUCUUGUUCAUGGGCUUCUCGAGCUAUCAGGAUUACUUGCGCCAUUUUUUAGACCUAUUUUCUUUUACUCAAUACCCAUUUCACAGGCUUGGGGGCGGAGAAAAAACCUUGAACGUCACUCAUCCAAAUAAAUCUUAUUUUGACGAACNNNNNNNNNNNNNNNNNNNNNNNNNNNNNNNNNNNNNNNNNNNNNNNNNNNNNNNNNNNNNNNNNNNNNNNNNNNNNNNNNNNNNNNNNNNNNNNNNNNNNNNNNNNNNNNNNNNNNNNNNNNNNNNNNNNNNNNNNNNNNNNNNNNNNNNNNNNNNNNNNNNNNNNNNNNNNNNNNNNNNNNNNNNNNNNNNNNNNNNNNNNNNNNNNNNNNNNNNNNNNNNNNNNNNNNNNNNNNNNNNNNNNNNNNNNNNNNNNNNNNNNNNNNNNNNNNNNNNNNNNNNNNNNNNNNNNNNNNNNNNNNNNNNNNNNNNNNNNNNNNNNNNNNNNNNNNNNNNNNNNNNNNNNNNNNNNNNNNNNNNNNNNNNUUCGGCCAGUUCUCUUGGAUUUUUUUUCCUUUUGGUUUCGGUUUGCAUUUCCCUUUUUUGCCCUUUAUUUCCCCGUUUAUCGCUUUUUCGUGUUAUUCUGUGAUUCUAAUUUCCUUUUAUUUUCUUGUAUUACUUUUUUAUUUUAUGUUUUUAUAAAUUAUUUAAAAUAUGAUGAACAAUUAUCAAACACAUAAUAAAUACUUUUUAAAUACGUGAUCAACAUUUUUAUAAUACACAUGAUAGAGUUUGUAAUACAUGGUGAAUAUUUUUCAAUUUUUUAAAAAAAUCUUAUAAAUAUUUAAACUUGCUUUAACAAUAUUUAAUACGAACAUCAUAGUAUGUUUUACUAUUCUUACUAUGACAGCACUUUUUUGAACCGGGAAAUCUAUAUGCAUUUUUACGAAAAGGAAUGGUUGUUUGCCCGACAAUUUGCGGACUCACUCAGCCAUCCAUGUAACCCAUCGACCACUGCAGUUGUGAUACAAGAAAAUCAAGCCCACCUGCCACCGAUCAACUAGAAAAGAUGGCGCAUUGAAGGACAGGCGUGGCUAUACCUCGGUUGCUGCGAAAGGUAACGCCUCAUCGCCUCAAGGAAUGCCCCCCUAAUGGGCUGGUGCAGUGACACUUUGUUCAUGGGUUAGUUUACCUUUUUUUUCAUUUUUCCUUUACAGUUUUGUUUUAUAUAUUAUAAAUAUAUAUAUCCCAUAAAAUACUCUACUUCAAUUUUUUUAAACAUUCACUGCACAGAUAAAAAAUGUCAGAUUCUCAACAUACAAAAUAAAAAAUGCCAUGCAGUGAAAAAACAGUGUUCACCCAUGCAAACAAUGUUCAUGCAACCGAUAUGAAUGUUGAUGCAGCCAGAAAGUAUGCACGACAUUAAAAAAAUGUUCAUGUAUAUCAACAAUAUGUUAAUUACGUUUAAAUUUUCUAACACAAUAUAGAAAAGCCCGCGUAAUUUUAAAAAAAAGUGUAUCUUCAAAAAAUAAUGUGAUAUGAAAAAAUCAUGAAAUUUGUGAAAAUUGUCCCUUAAAUGUAAAAGCAUUUGUACAGUUAAAAAUGUUUUGUGCAAUUAAAAAAGUGAACUUGUAUUAAAAAAAUGUUUAUGUUUAUUAAAAAAAGUAUUUAAAAAGUGUACAUCAUGUCUUCGAAAAAUGUUCAGCGUUGUUCAGAAAAAAUGUUAUGGUGUACACGAAAAAUGUACAACAUGUAUUGAAAAAGGUUUUCAUUCAUUUUUAAAAAAAGAAGAAAAUGAAGAAGAGAAAUAAAUUGAAGCGAAAAACUUAAGAAACACAAAAACUGAAGAAAGAAACAUAGAAAACCGAAGAAACCUAAAUUAAAAAAUCGGGGGAAAGGAGUAAAUACAAAAAAUGAAUGAAAUUGAGAAGCAUCCAUAAAUCUCGCAGCGGGUGAGAAACAGCCCGGGCGGCCACCUUUGCUGCUUGCCGAUCGAGGGUGGCGCCGCGCCCCGCCCGGCUGUUUCCCCCUCAAAGCAGGCAAGACAUACCAUGCCGCCGAAGCGGUUGGUGCAUGAUGCAAACGAGCCCCGUACGUGGCGUUUGCAAAACCUGGUCGAUCGGUGCCGAUCCGCGUGUCCCGAUCGACCAUAGCUUAUGUGUUGAGCUUGACGUAGCUGGAGCUCGGAGGAGCCAAAUUAGGUUGGUUGGGGAGCAAGCUGGCUAGCCGGACGGAUUCGCAACGGCUUGCGUAUGCAUUUGUGUGAGCGGUGACGAGUACCGAGCUCAAAACAGAAAAAGAAAAAAAAAAGAAAAAACAAGGAACGAGUGUAUCGCGCACGCCUAGUCGCGUAUGCAUUUGAAUUUGAAUUUGAUAGAUCUUCUGCGUGUUGUUUAAUUUGCUUACUACAAAGAGUGUAUCCACUGACAGCUCGCCCGUUGGCCACUGGCUGCAUGCAUGCAUGCCGGACUGUUUCCCCGUGCAUUCGUGUCGCCCAAUUUCCUAGAGCAUGGAAACUCCCACAGUAGUACCACAAUUCAAACGCUUGAUUCGCAUAAGGCCAUUUUUUUGUGUAUAUGGGAAGAUGUAGAACACUGAUAAUGACAACUUGACACGGUGACAGUCUCACAAAGGUGAUGCCAGCUACUUUUGGCAAACUUGCUUAAUAAAAAAUACAUACUCCCUACGUCCCAAAAUAAAUGUCUCAACUUUGUACUAACUUUAAUAUAAAGUUGUAUUAAGCUCGAGACAUUUAUUAUGGGACGGAGGGAGUAUUAAUUAGCACCUUCCAUCAAAUGAAAUAUACUUUUCAGUACUACCUUCCGCCAAAAUGCUAACUGUCCGCUGCAAUUUCGCUAAAUACUAGCCAUCAUGGGCGGGCAUAGAGUAGGGACGGUAUCUGGUGGCUUUUUGUUGGUCAUGCAGAUGUCCGGACUUUCGUAAAGCUUUCCCACAUUUGCCUUUGAUUUGCCGGAAAGAGUAUGUCCAAACUGCUCGACCGACUAAUGCAGGACCACGUUUGAUAACAAACUGAGUCCAGACACCGCGGUCCGGACGUUUGCGGGAUAUUUGACGAUCCGGCUUGGAGAUGCCCUAAGAUAUAGCAGUCCUAUGUAUAGAUCGGCACCGCAUGCGAUUCUCGUACGCACUUACUGGCGGCCACUGAGGGAUGGAAAGGAACAAACUUCACAUCACGUACAAAUCCACAAGAAGAAAAUAAUGCCAGGAACUCUACUUCCAGAUCACUUCACUAUAAAUACAGGCACGAAGCAUUCGUGCUGCCUCACACGAGCCACCGAAGCACACCCUAGCUUGGCCUCACUUAUCCUCGAGCACACGCCAGCAGAGGUUUCAGCCAUGAGUAGCCGCCGUGUUGGCCUCCUUCUCCUCUCCCUUCUGGCCACCACCCUCACGUGCAGCGCGGAUCCGCCGCCGGUGCACGACACGGACGGCAACGAGCUGCGCACCGACGCGAACUACUACGUCCUCCCGGCCAACCGCGCCCACGGCGGGGGGCUCACGAUGGCGCCGGGCCACGGGCGCCGCUGCCCGCUGUUCGUCUCGCAGGAGGCCGACGGGCAGCGCGACGGCUUACCCGUGCGCAUCGCCCCGCACGGCGGCGCGCCGUCCGACAAGAUCAUUCGGCUGUCGACCGACGUCCGCAUCUCCUUCCGCGCCUACACGACAUGCGUGCAGUCCACCGAGUGGCACAUCGACAGCGAGCUGGUGUCGGGCCGCCGGCACGUGAUCACCGGCCCGGUCAGGGACCCCAGCCCGAGCGGCAGGGAGAACGCCUUCCGCAUCGAGAAGUACAGCGGCGCGGAGGUGCACGAGUACAAGCUCAUGGCGUGCGGGGACUCGUGCCAGGACCUCGGCGUGUUCAGGGACC
This 39335-nucleotide long non-coding RNA is filed under the name Triticum aestivum (bread wheat). Its description in RNAcentral is "long non-coding RNA (TAES_LNC022826)". Lineage: Eukaryota; Viridiplantae; Streptophyta; Magnoliopsida; Poales; Poaceae. The record is from RNAcentral.